RNAcentral lists this ribosomal RNA (614 nucleotides) under Frigoribacterium sp. Ri2Ps_5148. RNAcentral describes it as "bacterial SSU rRNA". It matches the Rfam family "Bacterial small subunit ribosomal RNA", at positions 397 to 1019 of the family's 1533-position model. Lineage: Bacteria; Bacillati; Actinomycetota; Actinomycetes; Micrococcales; Microbacteriaceae. The record is from RNAcentral.
CCGCGUGAGGUGAUGACGGCCUUCGGGUUGUAAACCUCUUUUAGUAGGGAAGAAGCGAAAGUGACGGUACCUGCAGAAAAAGCACCGGCUAACUACGUGCCAGCAGCCGCGGUAAUACGUAGGGUGCAAGCGUUGUCCGGAAUUAUUGGGCGUAAAGAGCUCGUACGCGGUUUGUCGCGUCUGCUGUGAAAUCUGGGGGCUCAACCCCCAGCCUGCAGUGGGUACGGGCAGACUAGAGUGCGGUAGGGGAGAUUGGAAUUCCUGGUGUAACGGUGGAAUGCGCAGAUAUCAGGAGGAACACCGAUGGCGAAGGCAGAUCUCUGGGCCGUAACUGACGCUGAGGAGCGAAAGCAUGGGGAGCGAACAGGAUUAGAUACCCUGGUAGUCCAUGCCGUAAACGUUGGGAACUAGAUGUGGGGGCCAUUCCACGGUCUCCGUGUCGCACCUGACGCAUUAAGUUCCCCGCCUGGGGAGUACGGCCGCAAGGCUAAAACUCAAAGGAAUUGACGGGGGCCCGCACAAGCGGCGGAGCAUGCGGAUUAAUUCGAUGCAACGCGAAGAACCUUACCAAGGCUUGACAUAUACCGGAAACGUCCAGAGAUGGUCGCCCCGCA